GUGGGGAAUCUUCCACAAUGGACGAAAGUCUGAUGGAGCAACGCCGCGUGAGUGAAGAAGGGUUUCGGCUCGUAAAGCUCUGUUGUCGGGGACGAAUGUGCAGUAUUUGAAUAAAGUACUGCAAUGACGGUACCUGACGAGGAAGCCACGGCUAACUACGUGCCAGCAGCCGCGGUAAUACGUAGGUGGCAAGCGUUGUCCGGAAUUAUUGGGCGUAAAGGGAGCGCAGGCGGGAAGGUAAGUCGGUCUUAAAAGUGCGGGGCUCAACCCCGUGAUGGGAUCGAAACUAUCUUUCUUGAGUGCAGGAGAGGAAAGUGGAAUUCCUAGUGUAGCGGUGAAAUGCGUAGAUAUUAGGAGGAACACCAGUGGCGAAGGCGACUUUCUGGACUGUAACUGACGCUGAGGCUCGAAAGCCAGGGGAGCGAACGGGAUUAGAAACCCCGGGUAGUCC
Molecule: ribosomal RNA, 451 nt
Filed under: uncultured bacterium
Lineage: Bacteria
Description: partial 16S ribosomal RNA
Rfam family: Bacterial small subunit ribosomal RNA
Source: RNAcentral